GAUGAACGCUGGCGGCGUGCCUAAUACAUGCAAGUCGAGCGAACGGACGAGAAGCUUGCUUCUCUGAUGUUAGCGGCGGACGGGUGAGUAACACGUGGAUAACCUACCUAUAAGACGGGGAUAACUUCGGGAAACCGGAGCUAAUACCGGAUAAUAUUUUGAACCGCAUGGUUCAAAAGUUAAAGACGGUCUUGCUGUCACUUAUAGAUGGAUCCGCGCCGCAUUAGCUAGUUGGUAAGGUAACGGCUUACCAAGGCAACGAUGCAUAGCCGACCUGAGAGGGUGAUCGGCCACACUGGAACUGAGACACGGUCCAGACUCCUACGGGAGGCAGCAGUAGGGAAUCUUCCGCAAUGGGCGAAAGCCUGACGGAGCAACGCCGCGUGAGUGAUGAAGGUCUUCGGAUCGUAAAACUCUGUUAUUAGGGAAGAACAUAUGUGUAAGUAACUGUGCACAUCUUGACGGUACCUAAUCAGAAAGCCACGGCUAACUACGUG
RNAcentral lists this ribosomal RNA (497 nucleotides) under uncultured bacterium. RNAcentral's name for it is "partial 16S ribosomal RNA". It matches the Rfam family "Bacterial small subunit ribosomal RNA", at positions 28 to 507 of the family's 1533-position model. The record is from RNAcentral.